This 203-nucleotide long non-coding RNA is filed under the name Homo sapiens (human). RNAcentral's name for it is "HSALNT0093363". Lineage: Eukaryota; Metazoa; Chordata; Mammalia; Primates; Hominidae. The record is from RNAcentral.
CCCACUGCAGAAAACAGAAAGAAGAGUAGGUGAGACAGUAAGGCAGGAGCAACACCAAAACUUGUCAUGAGGUUUGUCACUUACGGAACAUUUGUCUAAGGUCAAGAGCUAAGAGUUAGCAAUGCUGAACUACAGUCCUCACAUAUCAGCAGCAAAGGACAAAAGAGACAGGCCAGCCUGGACUCAGGAGUUCCCCCUCCCUC